RNAcentral lists this ribosomal RNA (672 nucleotides) under Stenotrophomonas maltophilia. Its description in RNAcentral is "bacterial SSU rRNA". It matches the Rfam family "Bacterial small subunit ribosomal RNA", at positions 382 to 1045 of the family's 1533-position model. The record is from RNAcentral. Lineage: Bacteria; Pseudomonadati; Pseudomonadota; Gammaproteobacteria; Lysobacterales; Lysobacteraceae.
CCUGAUCCAGCCAUACCGCGUGGGUGAAGAAGGCCUUCGGGUUGUAAAGCCCUUUUGUUGGGAAAGAAAUCCAGCCGGCUAAUACCUGGUUGGGAUGACGGUACCCAAAGAAUAAGCACCGGCUAACUUCGUGCCAGCAGCCGCGGUAAUACGAAGGGUGCAAGCGUUACUCGGAAUUACUGGGCGUAAAGCGUGCGUAGGUGGUCGUUUAAGUCCGUUGUGAAAGCCCUGGGCUCAACCUGGGAACUGCAGUGGAUACUGGGCGACUAGAGUGUGGUAGAGGGUAGCGGAAUUCCUGGUGUAGCAGUGAAAUGCGUAGAGAUCAGGAGGAACAUCCAUGGCGAAGGCAGCUACCUGGACCAACACUGACACUGAGGCACGAAAGCGUGGGGAGCAAACAGGAUUAGAUACCCUGGUAGUCCACGCCCUAAACGAUGCGAACUGGAUGUUGGGUGCCAUUUGGCACGCAGUAUCGAAGCUAACGCGUUAAGUUCGCCGCCUGGGGAGUACGGUCGCAAGACUGAAACUCAAAGGAAUUGACGGGGGCCCGCACAAGCGGUGGAGUAUGUGGUUUAAUUCGAUGCAACGCGAAGAACCUUACCUGGCCUUGACAUGUCGAGAACUUUCCAGAGAUGGAUUGGUGCCUUCGGGAACUCGAACACAGGUGCUGCA